AGGAAGUCUUCGGACRGAAUUUUAGUAGACUUAGUGGCGGACGGGUGAGUAACGCGUGGAUAACCUGCCUUAUACAGGGGGAUAACGGAGAGAAAUUUCCGCUAAGACCGCAUAAGACCACAGCACCGCAUGGUGCAGGGGUAAAAUAUUUAUAGGUAUAAGAUGGAUCCGCGUCCGAUUAGCUAGUUGGUGAGGUAGAGGCUCACCAAGGCGACGAUCGGUAGCCGGCCUGAGAGGGUGAACGGCCACAUUGGGACUGAGACACGGCCCAAACUCCUACGGGAGGCAGCAGUGGGGAAUAUUGGACAAUGGGGGAAACCCUGAUCCAGCGACGCCGCGUGAGUGAAGAAGUAUUUCGGUAUGUAAAGCUCUAUCAGCAGGGAAGAAAAUGACGGUACCUGACUAAGAAGCCCCGGCUAACUACGUGCCAGCAGCCGCGGUAAUACGUAGGGGGCAAGCGUUAUCCGGAUUUACUGGGUGUAAAGGGAGCGCAGACGGCGAAGCAAGUCUGAAGUGAAAUGCAUGGGCUCAACCCAUGAAUUGCUUUGGAAACUGUUUGGCUUGAGUGUCGGAGGGGUAAGCGGAAUUCCUAGUGUAGCGGUGAAAUGCGU
This 611-nucleotide ribosomal RNA is filed under the name uncultured bacterium. RNAcentral describes it as "bacterial SSU rRNA". It matches the Rfam family "Bacterial small subunit ribosomal RNA", at positions 69 to 691 of the family's 1533-position model. The record is from RNAcentral.